Molecule: microRNA, 22 nt
Filed under: Homo sapiens (human)
Lineage: Eukaryota; Metazoa; Chordata; Mammalia; Primates; Hominidae
Description: hsa-miR-6512-5p
Source: miRBase by way of RNAcentral
UACCAUUAGAAGAGCUGGAAGA